This 399-nucleotide ribosomal RNA is filed under the name Pseudomonas sp. VAC54. Its description in RNAcentral is "bacterial SSU rRNA". It matches the Rfam family "Bacterial small subunit ribosomal RNA", at positions 994 to 1392 of the family's 1533-position model. Lineage: Bacteria; Pseudomonadati; Pseudomonadota; Gammaproteobacteria; Pseudomonadales; Pseudomonadaceae. The record is from RNAcentral.
AACUUUCCAGAGAUGGAUUGGUGCCUUCGGGAACUCUGAGACAGGUGCUGCAUGGCUGUCGUCAGCUCGUGUCGUGAGAUGUUGGGUUAAGUCCCGCAACGAGCGCAACCCUUGUCCUUAGUUGCCAGCGCGUUAUGCUGGGAACUCUAAGGAAACGGCCGGGGACAAACGGGAGGAAGGGGGGAAUGACGUCAAGUCAUCAUGGCCCUUACGGCCUGGGCUACACACGUGCUACAAGGGUCGGUACAAAGGGUUGCUACGCCGCGAAGCGAAGCUAAUCCCAAAAAACCGAUCGUAGUCCGGAUUGAAGUCUGCAACUCAACUCCGUGAAGUCGGAAUCGCUAGUAAUCGCGAAUCAAAAUGUCGCGGUGAAUACUUUCCCGGGUCUUGUACACACCG